AUAAGAACAGUGAAGAGGAGCAGUAAGAAGCAGAUUUCGCAUACAGAGAAUUGGCGGCUGGUGAAAGUCAAUCAAGUCUGUUUCUGAACUCACCUCAGAGUUGCAGCGGUGAAAACCGCUGACGCAUAACUGCGUUAAAAGUAUCAAGUGAGUGCGGCCGAAAACUGCACUAACGAGGGUGGUACCGCGGGAAACAAAAAAUCUCUCGUCCCUUUU
RNAcentral lists this non-coding RNA (216 nucleotides) under Bacillus sp. (in: firmicutes). RNAcentral's name for it is "Bacillus sp. T-box sequence". It matches the Rfam family "T-box leader". From Rfam's summary of the family: Uncharged tRNA acts as the effector for transcription antitermination of genes in the T-box leader family. T-boxes are found upstream of many aminoacyl-tRNA synthetase genes and some amino acid biosynthetic genes usually in Gram-positive bacteria. The record is from RNAcentral. Lineage: Bacteria; Bacillati; Bacillota; Bacilli; Caryophanales; Bacillaceae.